Molecule: ribosomal RNA, 460 nt
Filed under: uncultured bacterium
Lineage: Bacteria
Description: partial 16S ribosomal RNA
Rfam family: Bacterial small subunit ribosomal RNA
Source: RNAcentral
CCUACGGGAGACAGCAGUGAGGAAUAUUGGUCAAUGGACGAGAGUCUGAACCAGCCAAGUAGCGUGAAGGAUGACUGCCCUAUGGGUUGUAAACUUCUUUUAUAUGGGAAUAAAACGUUCCACGUGUGGGAUUUUGUAUGUACCAUAUGAAUAAGGAUCGGCUAACUCCGUGCCAGCAGCCGCGGUAAUACGGAGGAUCCGAGCGUUAUCCGGAUUUAUUGGGUUUAAAGGGAGCGUAGGUGGAUUGUUAAGUCAGUUGUGAAAGUUUGCGGCUCAACCGUAAAAUUGCAGUUGAAACUGGCAGUCUUGAGUACAGUAGAGGUGUGCGGAAUUCGUGGUGUAGCGGUGAAAUGCUUAGAUAUCACGAAGAACUCCGAUUGCGAAGGCAGUUCACUGGACUGCAACUGACACUGAGGCUCGAAAGUGUGGGUAUCAAACAGGAUUAGAUACCCCGGUAGUC